Molecule: ribosomal RNA, 491 nt
Filed under: uncultured bacterium
Lineage: Bacteria
Description: bacterial SSU rRNA
Rfam family: Bacterial small subunit ribosomal RNA
Source: RNAcentral
GACGAACGCUGGCGGCGUGCUUAACACAUGCAAGUCGAGCGGAAAGGCCCUUUCGGGGGUACUCGAGCGGCGAACGGGUGAGUAACACGUGAGUAAUCUGCCUUGUGCUCUGGGAUAGCCACCGGAAACGGUGAUUAAUACCGGAUAUGACCGUUGCACGCAUGUGUGGUGGUGGAAAGUUUUUUCGGCGCAAGAUGUGCUCGCGGCCUAUCAGCUUGUUGGUGAGGUAAUGGCUUACCAAGGCUUUGACGGGUAACCGGCCUGAGAGGGUGACCGGUCACACUGGGACUGAGACACGGCCCAGACUCCUACGGGAGGCAGCAGUGGGGAAUAUUGGACAAUGGGCGGAAGCCUGAUCCAGCAACGCCGCGUGAGGGAUGACGGCCUUCGGGUUGUAAACCUCUUUCAGUAUCGACGAAGCGACCUUUGGGGAGUGACGGUAGGUACAGAAGAAGGACCGGCCAACUACGUGCCAGCAGCCGCUGUAACAC